Molecule: ribosomal RNA, 602 nt
Filed under: Phymatodocis nordstedtiana
Lineage: Eukaryota; Viridiplantae; Streptophyta; Zygnematophyceae; Desmidiales; Desmidiaceae
Description: partial 18S ribosomal RNA
Rfam family: Group I catalytic intron (bases 123-515)
About the family: Group I catalytic introns are large self-splicing ribozymes. They catalyse their own excision from mRNA, tRNA and rRNA precursors in a wide range of organisms.
Source: RNAcentral
GGAAGGAGAAGUCGUAACAAGGUUAUCCGAUGAUCCUUCUUGCCCUAUUGGGUUCGAGACGUMACGGAAGCCUGAGCGGCCCGCGCGUGAUCGCGGGUGCGGCACACAUUGGGAGGUGCUGCUGAAAGCGCUAGUGUCUACUGUAGAAGCUCUCGUAGCCGAAGCAGGGAGAUGCGAUGCCACCAAAUUGCGGGGAAGUCCMAAAUGGGAGUGAGAGAGCCAGGCUACCAAGCACGGCGGCCAAAAAGUCAAUCCCCGUAGUGGGAUGGAUGGGCCGGAGUGUGGCCGAGCGAGAGGGCUCGGGUGCGGUAACAACGCCGUGGCUUUCGUGCAAGGGACGACCCGCAGCCAAUCCCCCCACAUUGGUAGCUUCGCGAGGAAACGUUUAUGCGUGGCUGCCAAAGUUGGUGGGUGCUGCUCACAGACUAAAUGGUGGCAGGUUGGCUUAUGUCUCGGCGUAACAAUGGAGACAAAGCCGGCCCAAGAUAUAGUCGAUCCGGGGACGCGUGUUGCUUGCGCGCGAGCCGGUGUUUGGUUGUUGUGGGCGCACCCGUGUUAGGGAGUGGACGCCGCCGGGGACUUCCGCAAAAGAAAAAUUCACC